Molecule: RNA transcript, 3476 nt
Organism: Astyanax mexicanus (Mexican tetra)
Lineage: Eukaryota; Metazoa; Chordata; Actinopteri; Characiformes; Acestrorhamphidae
Gene: ccdc85a
Gene name: coiled-coil domain containing 85A
Exons: 4
Source: RefSeq, a predicted model, not a curated record
GAGAGAGAGAGAGAGCGUCAGGGCGCCUGCGCUGCAGUCCCGCACCGUGCCCCUGGAGCGAUGGUGCUUUAGCGGUGUUCAGCGGUCAGAAAGGCCGGUCUACGAGCAUCCCCAUGGCGGGAGGAGGAGGCACGAUCGCCGGUGGCAGACGGGAGGGGCAAGGGGCUCUUCCGUAGAGACACGGGGCUGUGCUGGAAGACUGGAAGACUCAGGAGGAGCAGGAGGAGUGGAUACCCGGCACUGUGGGCUUGCAGCGCUGCAGCUUCAGUAUGGAUAGUCUAGAGAGCUUCAGCGCGAGCGUCUCCUAAUCCCGGCGGCCGGUUUUGUUGAAAGAGAGGCGGAUUCGGGAGAAAGUGCGGGUCAGGGCGCCUGUCAGCCUUUCAGCCGCAUCACUGCUGGAGCUCUCUGCGCCCCGGCCAGCCGCUCUAACCGAGGAGGAUGGAGAAGCCGAGCCAGGCUCAGCAGCAGCAGCAGCAGUCAGCCAUGUCCAAGAAGGCUGAAAGUGGUGCGGAAGACGUGUCUAAACUUACGGACGAGGAGCUCCUCAAGUGGAGCAAGGAGGAGCUGGUGCGGAGGCUGCGCAAAGCCGAGGCGGACAAGAUGAGCGUCAUCGUGGACCACAGCAACCUCAUCAGGGAGGUGAACCGCAGACUCCAGCAGCACCUGAACGAGAUCCGGGGACUCAAGGAGGUGAAUCAGAAGCUGCAGGAAGACAACCAGGAGCUGCGGGACCUCUGCUGCUUCUUGGAUGACGACCGACAGAAGGGGAAGAAGGUCUCAAGGGAGUGGCAGCGCCUUGGCCGCUACAGCGCUGGGAUCAUGCGCAAGGAAGUGACGCUGUACCUGCAGAAGCUGAAGGAGCUGGAGCAGAGGCAGGAGGAGGUACUGAAGGAGAACCUAGAGCUGAGGGAGCUGUGCCUCAUGCUGGAUGAGGAGAAAGGCUCUGGAGGUACUGGAGUGUCUGUGGGCACCGGAGCACCAGCAGGCUGCAGGAACUCGAUCGAUAGCCAGAGCAGCUUGUCCCAUGCCAGCGUGCCUGGGCCAGGGCUGCUGAGGGAUGUCGGGGAUGGGAGCAGCACCUCCAGCGCAGGCAGCACAGAUAGCCCCGAUCAUCUCACGCACAAGCAGCAGUUGCUGGCCUGUUCAGCGGGGGGAAGCCCCGAACUCCUCCAUAAACCUCGGUCAGGAUCAGGGGAGGAAGGACCGGGCCCGGAGCUCUCUGGCCGUAGACGGAGCACCAGUCCGGAAUACGCCGCCCACACUUUCCCUCAAGUGUGUCGGCCUCGCUGCGGCUCCCUCUCCAGCCCUGACCACAAAGGCCUGCGAGGUCUCAGCCCUGAAAAGCUCAUCAAAGGCCUGACUAGAGGCAGUCAGGACCAGUUCUCCAAGCACUUGCUGGUGUCCUCCCAGCCUCCUGGAAGCCCUGACCUCUUCCAGAAGCACAGAGGGAGCAUCGGGAGUGCCUGUGGGAGCCUCGAACCCAAGCAGUUACUGACAGGAACCCCUGAGCACUUGCAGAAGGGUCGUGUGAUAUCAGGAAGCCCUGAGAUGCUGAGGCAUGGGUACAGUGCGAGUCCGGAGCACGGCAAGUUCGGAAGUCCAGGCCGGGACGUGGCCCAGAGGAGGGCGGGAGGCGACGAGAUGUCCCCACAUCACCGGAGCAUCUACAGCGGUAUGAAUGGUGGGUCUGACUGGAGCCUGCUGUAGCACCCCACACUGAGGGCCAUUACAGUACACUACAUGCUAAAGGGAUGGUCAUCAGUCAUCACGGAGAGGGCAUCAGUUACAAAACAAAACAAAAAAAAACUAAAAAGAAAGCCCUAUAAGCCCAAAAACCAGGCUCUAGUCCAUCCCAUUCUAUAAACCAUGAUCUGCAUUUAUUUAAGUUUUCCUUUGCGCAGCUCAGACGGCACCUUAAGGAGGUAGAACAGGGCCGUUAGUGUCUGGCAGAACGUCUCAUUUCUGGUAAAGGUCGGUGGUGUCCAGUCUUGGUUCUCAAGGGCCAUGAUUUCAGCAGGCUUUAGCUGCUACCUGUCAAUCAACCUGUGCUUUUAUGCCUCGGAAGCCAUUUACGCGCUGGAGCCCGACCGAGGGAACUGUAACCAAUCACACAGCAUAAAGUUCAGAGGCCCAACAAAAAGCCAGAAGACAGUGCUCCCCAACAGGACCAGGAGUGGACACCACUGUUUUUGCCAUAUGUUUCCAGCUCUGAUAUCUGCUGGCUGCUGCACCACCUCCUGUAGAAGUGUCAAGCUUUGGGACAGCUUUGAUGCCUCCUGACCCUUGCCUUGAUUGAAUCCAGUGGUGGGUUCCUGGCCUUGAGAGAGGAGCCCAGCUGUCUGGUGUCUAAUGCGCUGGGAGAUGGAGAGAAAAGGAGAGGAUUAGAGGGAGAAGGUGAAGAAAAAGGAGAAGGAAAUCGUGCAGCAGCCAGUGUCUUGUGUCUUCUCCACCCCAUGAUGGUGUCAGCUCUCCUGUGUCCCCUAUUAGAGCCCUGCACAUCCGAGAGGGAUUCUUCAGGAGGGAGGAGACUCGUAACCCCGCCCACACGGAAUUCUGUAACGGGAGUUGAAAGAUGCUCUCUCUAUGUUGCCAACAAAAUAGACCUACCUCCUUUAAACGAAAGCAGAUGAAACUUAACAUAACAAAAGUAUGAAAUGGGAUUCAGAGUCUAUCACCCCUUUUGUUUACAGAUGCCAUACACAACCACAUACGAGCAGCAAGCACUGAUAAGAGCGUACACCUUCCGGUCGGAGCCACUAAAAAAUAUAUAUAUAAUAAACGUUUAAUUGGAGAUUCUGAGCAUCAGAGGAAAUUAUUAAAAGAAAAGUCUUGUCAUAGCAAUCACUGCCUUGCUUCCAUUAAGAGCUUUGUUGUGAUCAUUAGGUAAUUACGACCGUAAUAUAAGCUACAAAUAUUUAUACUUUGAGCAGUCUGCGCUGACCAAUUAUCAUUAGGAGAGGAGACAGCGGACCCAAAUCACCCCUAUCCGUCAUUAGCGAGCGACUGCUAAAGAACCGUGUGGUGAGUGAAGUGCUGUCUGAUCUGAUGCUUUUUGGAAGCACAAAGCCAGCCUUAAAUACGCCCUGUCCCCUCUCAGUCUGUGCUAAUGGACCAUUCCAGAGGGGCAACCUAUGAAAGACUCCACUGACAUUCAUCUAAAAACCACAAGCUCCCAACUUUCCCACACUACAGAUACCAUCAUGCCUUGCUUCUACCCAGGUGUUUCUGUGAGUCCCGCCCCUAUAGACAGUGACAAUAGAACAAGUACAAAAACACACAUAUACACACACACACAUAUACAGACAAAACAUGGACACACUACAUACUAGCUUCAUUUGAGAGAACUAAACAGCACACAGCCAUUUUUGGUAGCCCUUUAUUUAUUAGGCCUAGAUUACAAAUUCCUGUGCGCCAACCAUUGAUCCUCCUGUAUAAUUCAGUAUUACAUACAGUAAACGCUACUUUGUAACCUCUUU